CGGUGAUAGAAUCAAGUAAUAUAAAAGUAGAUGAUGCUUUUUCUGUGAGUUCUUCUGUGAAUGGUUCUUCGAAUACUUUGAUAAAUGAUGAUGAUGAUGAUUCUCCUUUUGACUUGCAUGUGAAUGAUAAAACUUCCUUAUCUGAUAAAUCUGUUGAAACUGUUGAAACUGUUGCAUCACAUGAUUUAACUGCACCUCUUGAAACCCCUAGCACUUCUUCUGAACUUACACC
RNAcentral lists this long non-coding RNA (232 nucleotides) under Ananas comosus (pineapple). RNAcentral describes it as "long non-coding RNA (ACOM_LNC008721)". Lineage: Eukaryota; Viridiplantae; Streptophyta; Magnoliopsida; Poales; Bromeliaceae. The record is from RNAcentral.